UUGGUUGAGUUUGUCUGAAGACCUGGGAUC
RNAcentral lists this non-coding RNA (30 nucleotides) under Homo sapiens (human). The record is from RNAcentral. Lineage: Eukaryota; Metazoa; Chordata; Mammalia; Primates; Hominidae.